AUGGCCCACAACGACCGGCCUUACUCGUUCGGGCUCAGCAUCACGGGCACGGACGAGGAAUUAACGAAAGGGUCAUGGGCCCAGAGCAAUCAAUCUUAUCACGCGCGUAUCUAUCGCCCCUUCCCAAAUAUUCUCAUGCUCCGCUCCCACCUCCCCCAUUAUCUGCAACAACCUCUGAUCACCUCCGAUUCACACGCGACCUUCUCCUCCAAGGCCAGUCCCAUCGAACGCCGCCGACCUGUUCACCGGCUGUAUCGGAGCCGCCGUCCUCACCCACGGGAACGGAGCUGCCGCCGACCGCCCAUCUGCCCUGCGGAAUACGACCGUCACUGCUUGUUCUUCGUCCACAUGUUGGAUUUAAGGCGAGAAUGCCGGCUCUUAUCAUCACAUCGUGAUCCGCCUCUCUGCUCGCCACCGGCGCUAACUCUCUCAGCCAUGCCAUCUUGCAAUGACUCGCGCCAGCAUAUAGAAAUAAAAACCAAGAAUAUCGGAGUGGCUAGUUCGUCCAAUAGUUAUGCUGACACAGAAUUACCACUACCAGACGUAACCAAUCAGGCUUUUUUGGAGGAACUCAGUGUGAAACAUGCAAAUAUGAGGUUAUCGUGCUCACCUUCAAGGUUCGCGGACACGAUCGACAGAUUAGAUCCUGACCAGCAAAAGGUCGUCUACAGUAAAACUGGUCUUGGAGGGCUAACACAGAUGAAGUCAGUGUCUCUCCGGCGUAUUAUGUUGGUGCUGCUAGCCAGUGGAAAACCACUUGCUAUACUAACAUACCACAACAGAGGACGGACGGACGAGUACGAAGCAAGCAUUCCAGAAGAACGAAAAGGUGCAGAUGACGACAUCACGAUCAUCAUCAACCCUGAUGUUACAAACAAACCAGACACAUCUGGUGCCCCAAAGCGUAAACGUGGACACCCGAGGAAGAAUGCCCCUCCUAGUAAUCCAGUCAAACAACAAUUUGACACCAAGACUAUCGCUAAACAAGUGAGAACUAUGUUUGAGGCACGGGUCAUGUACGUCUUGAGCUCCCGAUUCACCUUCUCCUCGUCCCACAUGAACCCCUGGAUGUUCUGCACCCACUCCAACUUAGUUUUGUGGCAAAAUGUUGGUGUUCUUGCCUCGUCGGCCUCGGGAGCUGCCGGGAGGAGCACGUCGCAAUCUUCCGUGAGCAGCGAGGUCGGGUCGACGGCGUCGGCUCCGUGGGAGCCCUUGAUCCCGCGGUUCUCUGCCGAGUGCUUCGUCAACUUGGCUAUGUCAAUGCCAUUGGAGUUCUUGACAGCAGCUAUCUUUUUUCAUACCUACGAUCAGCAGCUAUCACCUAGGAGAAAUGCAUGUAUAAGAAACUCAGCCAGCUUCAUUGAGAAGGGGGAGAUAUACCUAUGUACUCCGGCUCCUUUAGCUGAACUCCUCCACCUAUCGCUGGGACGACCGGUCCGGGGUGGCCGUCAUACCCGCGCUCUCUUGACGGCGAGAAGCCGCGACCGCAUUAGAUGUUUGUCCUCCAGCCCCUGGGACCCCUCCGCCGCCGCCGGCGGGGUCAUCGGCUCCGCCUCCUCGCCCGAGCGGCCAUCCUCGCCGACCCCUCAGCCGCCGCCGCCGCCGCCGCCUGAGUCAUCGGUGGCACCGCCCUAUCCUACCAAGCUGCUUCGAACAGAUAGGGCAACGAGGGGAGCGAACAUAACAUUGCACGCUUGCUGGGAUACCACGCUUGUGAAGGUGGGGUCGCUCUUGGACGACGCGGAUUUCUUCGAGCCGCUCACCAGGGCCGAGUUCAAGGAGCUCAACCAUGAUCUGCUGGCGAGAGCUACCAGAUGCGCCGACGAGAUCAUCAUCGUAGGCGGCAGCGUGAGGAUCCCCAAGAUUCUUGCAUUUUUCAAGGGCUACUUCCAUGGCCGGGAGCCAAUCAUAGAGGAGGAAGCGGCGAUUCGCGGCGCUGCUCUGCUCUCCGGUCCCGAGUCAGCAAUGUUCACAUACGACAACUGUGAUAGUUACGACUGCCGUGGGAACCCUUUGCAGUGGAUGGCAACCAAGAUGUGGAGUGCUAGGCAUGUUUUACAUGUCCGUGGAUACAAGAAUCCAGAGCCAGAGAUGAUCGAGAGGGAUUUCAUUAGUUAUUUUGAUAUAAAGGAGAAGAUCAAAGGAAUUGGUUUCCAACCAUUUGGACAACGUUUAAAUCAGUUUACAUGUUUGAUUGAGGGCGAGCAACGCAAACGAGAAGCCAUGGGAGGCGAGCGUGGCGUGCGGCCGACUUGGGCGUUGUGCGUUGGACAUGACGCGAGCGACCGCCAUCGGGCCAAGCCGGUCGGGAGAAGUUGCGCGGCCCGGUUCAGCAGUGAGAAAAAUAGCCAGGAAAAACCACUGAUGUGGAGGGAGUGGCGACCAGUGAAGAAAAGAUUUCAGUAUGAAACCAUGUGGGAAAGAUCGGAUGAGCUUCAGGGAGUUAUUAGCAAUGCUUGGUUAGAUGGAGAUACGAGUCGAUCACUUGCUGAUGUUACUAGAAAACUAAGAAGUAUGCAAGAUGUUCUUGGCCGGUGGGCUGCAAAGGAGUUCAACUCUGUCCAAAACAAAAUCAGUUCCCUUAGAGAUAGUUUGAAAGGGUUGUGGACGCUGCCCCUGAACACUGUGACGGAAGGAAAAAUAAAACGAACAGAAUCUGAACUCGAUGAAUGGCUCCAUAGGGAGGAAAUGAUGUGGAGACAGAGAGCUCGCAUAAAUUGGUUGAGAGAGGGAGAUAAAAAUACAGAGUUCUUUCAUAGAAGGGCCACAUGGCAAAGGAGGAAAAACAAAAUCCUAAAGUUGCAGCGCGAGGAUGGUAGUUGGGCAGAACAACCUGAAGAAAUACAUACUGAAAUAAACAAUUUCUUUCAAGGACUAUAUAAGAGAGAUGAUGCGGUGGCGCCGGAGGACCUGUUAAACUUGAUACCAGGGAGAGUGGACGAUGGGAUGAACGAAGCCCUAACAAAACCGUUUGAGGAUGAGAGCCUUUUGGUUGCGGCGCCUCACGGGUCCGAUGUGGAUAUGCACGAGGGUGACGGCAGCGCAGGAGCGAGGGAGCCGCCGGUCGAGGAUUCUGGACGACAGAUGUCCAAGGGACCGGGGCCCGAGACUGCGAUGACCGAGAAGGGAGCGGAGGCACCCUCCUCGCUGCCUGUGACGUCACUGAGAUUUGGGUCCUUCGAACCCGCUUCUGCACCCCCGAGGCUGUGGAGUGAUCGGGUUGAGUCCGACGAGGCUUUUGAGCUUGCGUUGCCUGCUUUGGGGUUUGAGGAUACUGACUGUUCUAUGCCUGUGGUUACUGAGGUUUCGUCGAUCUCGGGCAGCGGAGAGGUGGAGGUGAGUCGGCAGGUGGCCACUCUCUCUCCUGCUCAGCACGUUGUCCAUCCUCAGGGCGUGGCGCCAGUGUUUGUGGAUGGGUUGUCGGGAGGGACCCCGGGGCAGGCGGCCUCGGGUCGCUCUUCUCCGGCUGAGGUAGGGGACUCGGGGCAGGUGGCUCCCGUGUCCAUCUCUGCGUUGGGAGGGGGUCUGAGGCAGGUGGCCAUGGAUACCUCCUCUCCCGUCGCCUGUUCCUCUCUGCUGGUGGCGUCGGUGCCUUUGGGGGGGGGGCUCGGGGCAGGUGGCCUCGGGGCCUCCUUCUCCUAA
This 3642-nucleotide ribosomal RNA is filed under the name Triticum aestivum (bread wheat). Its description in RNAcentral is "partial small subunit ribosomal RNA". The record is from RNAcentral. Lineage: Eukaryota; Viridiplantae; Streptophyta; Magnoliopsida; Poales; Poaceae.